Molecule: long non-coding RNA, 2083 nt
Organism: Ipomoea nil (Japanese morning glory)
Lineage: Eukaryota; Viridiplantae; Streptophyta; Magnoliopsida; Solanales; Convolvulaceae
Exons: 12
Source: RefSeq, a predicted model, not a curated record
AUGUUUGAGAACGCCCCAUUUAUUUCAAUGGCAGAAAUAAUGAGGAAGUUUGAAUCUAGUACAAGUCAGAUGUCAAUGCCACACAUGAAUUGUUCCAUGUCACAUGAUGGUAUGGCUUGGAUCAGUGUAGAGGAAGCCUAAGCUUACACUGACAAGGGAACCUGAACUUGAAACAGCUCAACAUUACUGUCCAAUAAAACUUAUGUGCUCAGCUCAGCUCAUAAUCUACUACUCUAACUCUAUUUUUCUUUUACUUUUCGUUCUAAUAUUUAUCAAUUUCUUUCUUGUUGUUCUAUCCCCCCUUUUCUCAUCUUAAUUUUAUUCUUCUCUUUCCCAUCUUCCUUAUUUGUUUCUUUCUUUCCUUCUUUUUCCUUCAUGUUCUCCAUCCUUUCUCACUCACCCACUCUAAUUCCUAUCCCUUCUCGAUUUUUCUUUGUUGACCUUCUCUCUCUCUCUCUCUCUCUCUCUCUCUCUCUCUCAAGAAGUGACUCCCGACGGGGAAGCAAUUUGAUAUGUUUUGCCCAUCUGUAUAGUAUUCUACUGUUGUUUUGGGCGUUAUGAUUCUUAUUACAUUUCGCUAAUUUCUCGGGGAUCUGGUGACAAGCAGUCAGCUGUUCAUGGUUCUGUUUCUGCUGUAAUAUAUCAGUUCUCAAGGAUCCUGUAAGAAGCCGUCCUCACUUCAAGCAGCAUGCACCCCUCAGCCACCAAAAAUAACUUCUUAGAAAACAGCCGAACAAACUGAUGCUAAGAAGCACCAGACAGCUAAAAGAAGUAGCAAGUAUGAUCAGGAACCCCUCUGCAUUGAAGUCAGCAACCCAAUCACAUGUGAUAAGCAUUAAUCCUGCUUGUGCAAGAAGGAAUGCAAAUAUUAGAAUUACAUAUGAAAUUCCAAAUUUUGCUCAAGAAAAUCAAGCUAUAAAGAGGCAAAAACUUGAAGAGGGAAAAAGCUAGACAGAUCCUUAGCAUCAAUCCCCAAACUUUACUCCAUAAAACAAGACCUGGGAAAUCGACCUGCAACUUGAACCAGCAGCCCCAUUUAUUUCAACGGCAGAAAUGAUGAAGUUUGAAUCUAGUACAAGGGAGAUGUCAAUGCCAUGCAUGAAUUGUUCCAUGUCACAUGAUGGUAUGGCUGGGUCAGUGCAGAGGGAGCCUAAGAUUGCACUGACAAGGCCCAAGGAACCUGAAAAAAUAAGAUUGCACCAACGUCUACUGAAAAUCAAUGCCAAGUAGAAUGUUCUCCAUCGAUUCUCACAAUUAUAAUUGGAAUGGAUGUUUUCCAUAGCAUUUUCAGAACCUUAGCAUCAAACCCCAAACUUUGCUCCAUACAACAAGACCUGGGAAAUCUACCAGCACCUGAACACUUCAACUGUCAAAACACGUACAAAAGACAGAAAGAUUUGUGUUCGAGAACCAACAGCCCCAUUUAUUUCGAAUCUAGUACAAGGGAGAUAUCAAUGCCACGCUUGAAUUGUUCCAUGUCACAUAUAAAUACAAAUAACUUGCUUAAAAGUUCUAUUAAUUUUCUAGUACAUUUUCUUUAAAAAUUGAAACUAUUUUUGAGGAUGGUAUGGCUGGAUUCAGUGCAGAGGAAUCCUAAACUUACACUGACAAGGCCCAAGGAACCUGAACUUGAAACAGCUCAACGUUACCGUUCAGUAAAACUUAGGAGCUCAGUUGAGUUGGAAGAAGAAAUGAUGGCAAAAUUUCUCAAGUUUAAAGCUCGCCCUCUAAAUAAGAAGGUAAUUUCUAUUUCCAAGUGAUUCCUGAGAAAGUAUUUGCUAUAUGGUAAUAUGCUUUUUGUCAUCAAGUCACCAUCCACACCCACCCCCCUCCCCGUGGCCAGAAAGAUGGCACGAUAAAAUAUUAGCUCUAUUUUUUUGCUUCAGCUGUCUAUCAAAGAAAAGUUUCUGCUGGGAACCCCCAGCUAAAUUGGUCAGACUUUUGACUUGGUAACCACAAGGUUACAAGUUCUAUUCUUAGCGGGAGCGGCCUAUUGACAUUCUUGGUUUGAGUUGGUUGGUUAGCUUUGGGCAUAUAUUGAUUGCUGCUUGUUUGUGCAUUUCGCCAUCGGGUGGCUCAUAAG